UACAGAGGUCUCAAGCGUUGUUCGGAUUCAUUGGGCGUAAAGGGUGCGUAGGUGGCGGGGUAAGUCAGGUGUGAAAUCUCGGGGCUCAACCCCGAAACUGCACUUGAUACUGCCUUGCUCGAGUACUGGAGAGGAGAUUGGAAUUUACGGUGUAGCAGUGAAAUGCGUAGAUAUCGUAAGGAAGACCAGUGGCGAAGGCGAAUCUCUGGACAGUUACUGACACUGAGGCACGAAGGCCAGAGGAGCAAACGGG
This 253-nucleotide ribosomal RNA is filed under the name uncultured bacterium. Its description in RNAcentral is "partial 16S ribosomal RNA". It matches the Rfam family "Bacterial small subunit ribosomal RNA", at positions 524 to 776 of the family's 1533-position model. The record is from RNAcentral.